Cynoglossus semilaevis (tongue sole) is the source of this 1690-nucleotide long non-coding RNA. RefSeq lists it as uncharacterized. NCBI's taxonomy places the organism in Eukaryota, Metazoa, Chordata, Actinopteri, Pleuronectiformes, Cynoglossidae. The transcript has 3 exons. The record is from RefSeq and is a predicted model, not a curated record.
UGUGGCUUUGGUUUGUAUGUUCUUUUUCGGGUCGACCAGACCCGUGAUGCGCGAUAGGCGGCGGCACCAGGAGACUCGCCCGCAGUUCUCUGGAGGUGUUUCCCCCAGUAUCGCUGCUGGUGGGGAGUUGUAUUCAUCCCAGGUUCAUCUCACCUCUCCUGUUACCCACCUCACAAACCUGCAACAUGUUAGUAUGCUGCGACCCCUGCUGGCAGGUUGGCUUGACAUUACAAUGGCAAUGUCGGACUCUGGUAAAUGACAGGAAAAAUCUGGCUUCUCUUAAGCCACAUUAAACUCAACAACAACAGCAGGACGGAUGUUAAUCAUCAUCAAGAUCAUCUCAGUCACAGCGGACGCCUGGAGUGCAUUGGUUCCAGUGAGCAGUGAAUGCAGUGACCUCCCAGCGGGUGGCGCUCUCCAUGGUUUCGGCCACCAUGAAAGCAGCAGUGGAUGCAGUAUGGGCAGUGUGGAGCAUCGUAGCCUCCAUUUAUGACUACAUUCACACUAAAGCGAUGGAAGAGCGCAUCCACGCCCUGGAGCAUGUCAUCACCAUUCACCAGUGUGUGAUUGGGCUGCUGUCUGCUGGUAUACUGGUGCUCUUCACUUACAUCCUAAUGAAGAAGGUCUGAAUGGGUGACAGGAAGUCAGACUGCAGCGUUGCUCAUGAAGGCGGACACAGAAGGGAAGUUCCUUCUUUGGAUAUUCCUGUACUGACGUACAAGAGCUGAAGGGUACUGGUAUUUAUUAAUGGUUUGGUCAAUAUGGAGAUUGUAGUGGGCCAACUGUACAUGGGCACAAGGUCUGUUCACUGACAAUUAAAAUGUCAUCUACUGUAUAUGCUUUUUCAAAAGGUACGUAGUAAAAAUAAGUGCCUAAUUAGGUGGAGCACAGGGUGUAGCUGUUAAGGCCAGUCCAAAUAGUUAUUCAGUCUGCUCUCAGUUUUCAUCUGUAACUGACGUUCUUUUUCCAGUCCUGUGCGUUGAAAUCGCUAAAAUUUGUAACAUGUCUGUUCAUCCAUCUUCCAAAGAAGGUUCGUCUUGACACCUGCCUUAAAACAGACUUUGUUUUACAUUAAGUCUGAUAAUUAUACAUUAUCAGACUUCUAUAGCUUUGACGUACAGUGAAGAAAUUCAUUUGGACCACGUCUCUCUACGGCUCAGCAUAUCACCUACCUCCAUCACGCCCUUCCACUUGCUUCUUUUCUUGCGCUGCAACCAUUACCAUGUCUUUCCUCACAUUGUCCAGUGUACCAUGUCUCCUCAACCUUCCAGCUGCGUUAAUCUCUCCAAACCUCUUUAAAUUUCAGUUGUCUGUUGGUGAUGAUGAUUUGUUGAUGCUGUCCACCCAUGUCACUCCUCAUGAUAUUGACAUCAUCUUUAACUCGUCCACCUCCAGCUCAUCACAGUCUUUCAUACGGUGCCGUCUCCAAACUCAUUAGCGUCCUUUAAACAUGCUAUUUUACUGUUACUGACCCACAUCUGUUGUCCACCCCCGGCCCUUUAUCCUCUACCAUAAAAUUGCUUAUUUUGUAACAUUUUGUUGUGGUGUAAAUCUAAUGCAGGACUAGGAUCAGACGUCUGCCAUCACUGUCCAUGUGUGAAAUGUUUUUCAUGCAGAGGUAAUAAAACUGUUUACAUUAAGGUAUACCAAGUCUGGAGACUAUUUCUCAUCCACUUGGUAUUAUUGGAAA